GGGGGUGUAGCUUGGUGGCAGAGUGCUUACCUAGCUUGUGUGAGGCUCUGGGAUUGAUCCCCAGCACCACCA
Molecule: transfer RNA, 72 nt
Filed under: Marmota monax (woodchuck)
Lineage: Eukaryota; Metazoa; Chordata; Mammalia; Rodentia; Sciuridae
Description: tRNA.Ala
Rfam family: tRNA
About the family: Transfer RNA (tRNA) molecules are approximately 80 nucleotides in length.
Source: RNAcentral